RNAcentral lists this ribosomal RNA (616 nucleotides) under uncultured bacterium. RNAcentral's name for it is "bacterial SSU rRNA". It matches the Rfam family "Bacterial small subunit ribosomal RNA", at positions 169 to 803 of the family's 1533-position model. The record is from RNAcentral.
CCGCAUAAGACCACAGCACCGCAUGGUGCAGGGGUAAAAACUCCGGUGGUACAGGAUGGACCCGCGUCUGAUUAGCUGGUUGGUGAGGUAACGGCUCACCAAGGCGACGAUCAGUAGCCGGCUUGAGAGAGUGGACGGCCACAUUGGGACUGAGACACGGCCCAAACUCCUACGGGAGGCAGCAGUGGGGAAUAUUGCACAAUGGGGGGAACCCUGAUGCAGCGACGCCGCGUGAGUGAAGAAGUAUUUCGGUAUGUAAAGCUCUAUCAGCAGGGAAGAAAAUGACGGUACCUGACUAAGAAGCCCCGGCUAACUACGUGCCAGCAGCCGCGGUAAUACGUAGGGGGCAAGCGUUAUCCGGAAUUACUGGGUGUAAAGGGUGCGUAGGUGGUAUGGCAAGUCAGAAGUGAAAACCCAGGGCUUAACUCUGGGACUGCUUUUGAAACUGUCAGACUGGAGUGCAGGAGAGGUAAGCGGAAUUCCUAGUGUAGCGGUGAAAUGCGUAGAUAUUAGGAGGAACAUCAGUGGCGAAGGCGGCUUACUGGACUGAAACUGACACUGAGGCACGAAAGCGUGGGGAGCAAACAGGAUUAGAUACCCUGGUAGUCCACGCCGU